AUUGAACGCUGGCGGCAGGCCUAACACAUGCAAGUCGAGCGGGGUUUUCGGACCUAGCGGCGGACGGGUGAGUAAUGCGUAGGAAGCUGCCCGAUAGAGGGGGAUACCAGUUGGAAACGACUGUUAAUACCGCAUAAUGUCUACGGACCAAAGUGUGGGACCUUCGGGCCACAUGCUAUCGGAUGCGCCUACGUGGGAUUAGCUAGUUGGUGAGGUAAUGGCUCACCAAGGCGACGAUCUCUAGCUGGUUUGAGAGGAUGAUCAGCCACACUGGAACUGAGACACGGUCCAGACUCCUACGGGAGGCAGCAGUGGGGAAUAUUGGACAAUGGGCGCAAGCCUGAUCCAGCCAUGCCGCGUGUGUGAAGAAGGCCUUCGGGUUGUAAAGCACUUUCAGCGAGGAGGAAGGGAUGUAUGUUAAUAGCAUGCAUUUUUGACGUUACUCGCAGAAGAAGCACCGGCUAACUCUGUGCCAGCAGCCGCGGUAGUACAGAGGGUGCAAGCGUUAAUCGGAAUUACUGGGCGUAAAGCGCACGUAGGCGGUUAGUUAAGUUGGAUGUGAAAGCCCCGGGCUCAACCUGGGAAUUGCAUUCAAAACUGGCUAACUAGAGUAUGUGAGAGGGGGGUAGAAUUCCAAGUGUAGCGGUGAAAUGCGUAGAGAUUUGGAGGAAUACCAGUGGCGAAGGCGGCCCCCUGGCACAAUACUGACGCUGAGGUGCGAAAGCGUGGGGAGCAAAC
This 738-nucleotide ribosomal RNA is filed under the name uncultured Rheinheimera sp. RNAcentral's name for it is "bacterial SSU rRNA". It matches the Rfam family "Bacterial small subunit ribosomal RNA", at positions 28 to 773 of the family's 1533-position model. Lineage: Bacteria; Pseudomonadati; Pseudomonadota; Gammaproteobacteria; Chromatiales; Chromatiaceae. The record is from RNAcentral.